UGGGGAAUAUUGGACAAUGGGCGCAAGCCUGAUCCAGCAAUGCCGCGUGUGUGAAGAAGGCCUUCGGGUUGUAAAGCACUUUUAUCAGGAGCGAAAUCGGCGUGGUCAAUACCCGCGUCGUCUGACGGUACCUGAGGAAUAAGCACCGGCUAACUUCGUGCCAGCAGCCGCGGUAAUACGAAGGGUGCAAGCGUUAAUCGGAAUUACUGGGCGUAAAGGGUGCGUAGGCGGUUAGUUAAGUCUGUUGUGAAAUCCCCGGGCUCAACCUGGGAAUGGCAAUGGAUACUGGCUAGCUAGAGUGUGUCAGAGGAUGGUGGAAUUCCCGGUGUAGCGGUGAAAUGCGUAGAGAUCGGGAGGAACAUCAGUGGCGAAGGCGGCCAUCUGGGACAACACUGACGCUGAAGCACGAAAGCGUGGGGAGCAAACA
Molecule: ribosomal RNA, 427 nt
Filed under: uncultured Rhodanobacter sp.
Lineage: Bacteria; Pseudomonadati; Pseudomonadota; Gammaproteobacteria; Lysobacterales; Rhodanobacteraceae
Description: bacterial SSU rRNA
Rfam family: Bacterial small subunit ribosomal RNA
Source: RNAcentral